AACUGCCUGUGACGUAUGUGUCUG
Molecule: non-coding RNA, 24 nt
Filed under: Arabidopsis thaliana (thale cress)
Lineage: Eukaryota; Viridiplantae; Streptophyta; Magnoliopsida; Brassicales; Brassicaceae
Source: RNAcentral